GUCCCUGUACCGCAAUGGAUAGCGCGUUGGACUUCUUUUCUAAAGGUUGUGGGUUCGAAUCCCACCUGGGAUG
This 73-nucleotide transfer RNA is filed under the name Trichonephila clavata. It matches the Rfam family "tRNA". From Rfam's summary of the family: Transfer RNA (tRNA) molecules are approximately 80 nucleotides in length. Their secondary structure includes four short double-helical elements and three loops (D, anti-codon, and T loops). Lineage: Eukaryota; Metazoa; Arthropoda; Arachnida; Araneae; Nephilidae. The record is from Rfam by way of RNAcentral.